Molecule: long non-coding RNA, 2545 nt
Filed under: Homo sapiens (human)
Lineage: Eukaryota; Metazoa; Chordata; Mammalia; Primates; Hominidae
Description: non-protein coding lnc-RCHY1-7:1
Source: RNAcentral
AGCUGCCUUUUUAAAGAACUGUCAGCAAAGCCAGAGUCUGUCUGAGAUGCUCAGCAAGAGCUGGAAUUUCAUAGCUGUUCAUCCUGAUUCUCCUCUUUCCAGAUUUUCAGUGUAAGGAGUAUAGGCUUGAGCCUUUUAUCACUAGUCAUGGAAAACAAUCCUCCCUCAGGGACAUCAUUGCUAUGGGAGGGAGAAUGUGUGACAGAGAAGAGCUUCUAUGUCCAGACCUUUUUUUUUUUUUUUUUUGAGACUGAGUUUCGCUCUGUCGCCCAGGCUGGAGUGCAAUGGCACAAUCUCGGCUCAUGGCAAGCUCCGCCUCCCGGGUUCACGCCAUUCUCCUGCCUCAGCCUCCCAAGUAGCUGGGACUACAGGUGCCCACCACCACACCCGGCUAAUUUUUUGUAUUUUUAGUAGAGAUGGGGUUUCACCGUGUUAGCCAGGAUGGUCUUGAUCUCCUGACCUCGUGAUCCACCUGCCUUGGCCUCCCAAAGUGCUGGGAUUACAGGCAUGAGCUACCUCGCCCGGUCCGAUUAUGGCCAUUUUUGCAGGAGUAAGGUGGUAUCACAUUGUGGUUUUGAUUGGCAUUUCCCUUAUAAUUACUGAUUAAGAGCAUUUUUUCAUAUGUUUGGUGGCCAUUUGUCUAUCUUCUUUUGAGAAUUGUCUAUUCAUGUCCUUAGCCCACUUUUUGAUGGAAUUGUUUGUUUUUUUCUUGCUGAUUUGUUUGAGUUCCUUGUAAAUUAUUGUUAUUAGUCCUUUGUCAGAUUUAUCAAUCGCAAAAUUUUUCUCCCACUUUGUGGGUUGUCUGUUUAUUCUGCUGAUUGUAUUUUUUCUGUGCAGAAGCUUUUUAGCUUAGUUAAGUCUCAUCUGUUUAUCUUUGUUUUUAUUGCAUUUGCUUUUGGGUUCUUGGUCAUGAAGUCUUUGCCUAAGCCAAUGUCUAGAAGGGUUUUUAUAAUGUUAUCUUCUGGAAUUUUUAUGGUUUCAGGUUUUAGAUUUAAGUCUUUGGUCCAUCUUGAAUUGAUUUUCAUAUAAGGUGGGAGAUGAGGACCCAGUUUCCUUCUUCUACAUGUGGCUUGCCAACUAUCCCAGCACUAUUUGUUGAAUAGGGUAUCCUUUUCCCAAUUUUUGGUGGCUUUGUCAAAGAUUAGUGGGCUGUAAAUAUUUGCAUGAGACAGAGAGAAAAGGAAGACUGAGCUUCUGAGUUAGCUAACUCACUUUGUCAAUAAUAGCAUUAAUCCAUUGUGGGCUUCGCCCUCAUGGCCUAGUCACCUCUUAAAGAUCCCACUUCUUAAUGUCAUCACAAUGGCAAUUAAAGUUCAACAGGAGUUUUAAAGGGAACAUUCAAACCAUAGCACCUUAUAAAGACUUUACAGAGGCAGGUUUAAAAGUAUGUGUCAGCUUUGAGGUAAGAUAGUUUUGCAUGAGUUUGGGCAGGAGAAUAUGGGGACAGGUUAAGCUUUGGAGCCUUGCCUCCUGGAGAAAAUUACAUUAUAUUUAUUUUGUAAUCAAAAGCCAAAUGAGUUUUUAAAAGAGUAAAAUUUACCCUUCAAGUUUAACAACAACAAAAAUAUCAGGUUUAACAAUGUGAAUAUAGGAUGAAAGUGAUUUUGAAAUGUAAAAACAGUUAGAAGGCAUAUCUGUGUUCAAAGUGAGUUCUAAUACUAGAAACCAGAUGUAUGCAUCCUCUUACUGCCAUUACUAUGAUGUUGUCUAAGGCCUGGAGAGUCAGACAGAGGGAUACACAGAAUUAAAUCAAACGUCAUUUAAAUAUCUAUAAGAUUUGUCAUGGGAACCUACAGCAAGACUGAAAGGUGAUCAGAAUGGAACCAGGCAGUAACUGAAUUAGUAAAAUUUAAUAAAUCACUCAGAUUGUCUCAGUGAGGAUAUUGCAGGCUUAAACCAGUUUGAAGAAAUAGAAAAUGUGUAACUUGAAUUCUGGGGGCCAUAAAACUGACUUAUUUGGAGGGCAUGGGCUUGUAUUCCCUAAUGGCAGAGUGACUCCAUAGGAGAGUUCCUCUUACUUAUUAGUGGCCUAUGGAGAGUCAGCCUGGCCAAAGCCUCUGGCCAGUGAGAAACCUGAGCAUGCCAAGACAGUCACCACAAUUCAUUUGAGAUGAUAAACUUUAACUUGCUUUCUUUAGUAAACAAAAUUUGUUUUACAAAAGGGAAGCAUCGAUUAAUCUUAGAGAUAAUGACUUGAACCCACAAUAUUAAUAUUUUUCUAUUAAUUUAACUAUAAUGGGCACAUUUGGAUUUAAAGAGAAUUGGAUGUAUUGUAAACAUAUAUCCUUGUGAUUCCAAGUUAAAAUAUGUAGUUUAGUAACUUAUUUGAUUUACAAUUCUUAAUUUGAAAUGCAUAAGAUAUUUUACUAAGUUUAUCGUGUUGAUUAUUUAAGAGAGCUUAGAAUUCACCGAAUUUUAAGUUUGGUAUAUUGAAUUCAGUUAAAUAUUUAAGUGGUUCAAAAAAUUUUCCUGGUAGUAACAUUAAAAAAAAGCGUGGCCAGGCGCGGUGGCUCAUGCCUGUAAUCCCAGCACUUUGGGAGGCUGA